This 432-nucleotide ribosomal RNA is filed under the name uncultured bacterium. Its description in RNAcentral is "bacterial SSU rRNA". It matches the Rfam family "Bacterial small subunit ribosomal RNA", at positions 354 to 796 of the family's 1533-position model. The record is from RNAcentral.
GUGGGGAAUCUUGCGCAAUGGGCGAAAGCCUGACGCAGCGACGCCGCGUGGGGGAUGAAGGCCUUCGGGUCGUAAACCCCUUUCGGCAGGGACGAAGCCUUACGGUGACGGUACCUGCAGAAGAAGCCUCGGCUAACUACGUGCCAGCAGCCGCGGUAAGACGUAGGAGGCGAGCGUUGUCCGGAUUCAUUGGGCGUAAAGCGCGCGUAGGCGGCUUGGCAAGUCGGAUGUGAAAACCCGAGGCUCAACCUCGGGCGUGCAUCCGAAACUGCCAGGCUAGAGGUAGGUAGGGGAGAUCGGAACUCCUGGUGUAGCGGUGAAAUGCGCAGAUAUCAGGAAGAACACCGGUGGCGAAGGCGGAUCUCUGGGCCUUACCUGACGCUGAGGCGCGAAAGCUAGGGGAGCGAACAGGAUUAGAAACCCUGGUAGUCC